This 328-nucleotide ribosomal RNA is filed under the name Epiperipatus vagans. Its description in RNAcentral is "partial 12S ribosomal RNA". Lineage: Eukaryota; Metazoa; Onychophora; Udeonychophora; Euonychophora; Peripatidae. The record is from RNAcentral.
AGAUACCCUGUUAUUCUAAAAAAUAAAUAAUACUUCAAGGAAACUAAACAAAAUAAAUCUGACGGUAUUAACUUUUACAAAGGAAUUUGUUUCUUAAUCGACAAUACACGACUAACCUUACUUAAUACUUAUUUGUAUACCACUGUAAAGAAAUUAUUUAUAAUUAAUCUCAUAAAAGAAUAUUCUAAAAAAUCAAGUCAUGGUGCAAUUUUAUUAAGAUGAAAUGAAUUACAUUUAAUUAAUAAUAUAAAAAAUGAAAAAUUUUUAAAAAAAGAAUUUGUAAGUAAAAAUUUAUUAUCAUGAUAUUCUGAAAACUAACAUUAAUAUG